Molecule: ribosomal RNA, 250 nt
Filed under: uncultured bacterium
Lineage: Bacteria
Description: partial 16S ribosomal RNA
Rfam family: Bacterial small subunit ribosomal RNA
Source: RNAcentral
CCUUGAUGGCGACCGGCGCACGGGUGAGUAACGCGUAUGCAACCUGCCCGAUACCGGGGUAUAGCCCAUGGAAACGUGGAUUAACACCCCAUAGUACUUUUAUCCUGCCUGGGAUGGGAGUUAAAUGUUCAAGGUAUCGGAUGGGCAUGCGUCCUAUUAGUUAGUUGGCGGGGUAACAGCCCACCAAGACGAUAAUAGGUAGGGGUUCUGAGAGGAAGGUCCCCCACAUUGGAACUGAGACACGGUCCAA